CCACGUGUGGUAAAGCUUCAGUGAUGAGCUGGAGAAGGCGUUUUCCGCCAGCGAUUGGCCCUCCUGGUGUUAAAGGAUGAGGCGGUGGGGACCGAGGAGCCGAGGCUGACGGGGUGACGACUGGAUCCCGGUUCUUUCUGAGGGGCUUCGCGUGGGACCCGGGAGAGCUCGCUUGGUGCCCCCGGCUGCAUAGCCCCAGGUCCAUCAGUGUUGGCUGGUUUGUCUGCGAACCCCGGUGCCCAGCGGCCCUGUGAACCAUCCCAUUAAGGUGUCAAGAGGUAAACGAAAACAACUAAUUACAAGAGGUGACACAGGAAAGGACAUCUUAAUAUUAAGCAAGCAUUGCAGGAGCUUCAGAUGGAAGCUGAAGAAGAUUUUGUGACAUUCUCAGAUUUCAUGCAGUGAUGCUCCCAUGGACUCAAGAGUGUUAUUUAUCACUCAGUGCUGAAUAGACCGUGGAGAAGAUACGAUCUCUGCCCAAUGAGAUGAAAGGUUAACAGACAUCAGAAUCCUGAAAGCUGCCUUCGUGGUAUAAUUCUUGACUGGUCUGGGGAAGUCUGCGUCUUAGCAACCAUGAAGACUAAGAGAGCCGCCAUGCAGAAGGAAAAAGAACAGACUGGGGAAAAUGGAUAUCAGGUGGCAACUAGAAGUAUCUGCCUCAUUUGUUGAGGAUUGAUGGAAGAUAUAUGAAGAAUGGAAAACUAAAGUCCUGCAAACAGAUGAAAGGUGGAUGCAAAUUCUCUCUAGAAAAAGGAAUUAAUUUACUAAGGAAGACCGGAACGGAGGGAGAAGGACAUCACGGCUAGCUUGCCCUGUGUCCUGGAGGAUGACCGAUGGCACCGAGGACAGAAGCUCUUUGGAUUGGAAAGAGCGGUAAAAUAGGGAGUCAAAUCUAAAGGUGGAUAGGUAGUCCUUUUAUGUGGAGGAAGAUGUGUAUCUUUCAAGAUUUGCUUUUCGAGAUAUUUAUAGAGGAGAUUCUGUGAGAUUCCUGUGACUGGUGACAUUCAGUUCACAACAUGUCAAGGAUUCUGGUCCUCUGAAUCUGCCAAGGAAAGGUGAAGCAGUGUGCAUCGAAGCUAAAAUGAACGCUUCUGUGCGGGGACCAGCAGCCUCCAUAACCCACCAGGCGCUGAGUGCUGCGGGCCGUGGCAGCUGCCAAGUCUGCAUGCAUCCCUAGCAACGCCAGUGAAUGGCAUCCCUGGGGCCGACUUAGGUGAAUCAAAGUUCACACCUUGUGUCUGGGAGGGGAGAUUUUUUUUCAAAGGGUAUUGGCCUUUUGUGCAAGGAAGAACGGAUGGAUGGCCCCUUAAUGGGGGGUCUGUAACUAUCAUAUCUCUAAGGAGGCAUGAGUUUGCUUCCUGCUUUCAAGUACUUAGAGUUCUUCUGUAGUUUCUCUGACCACAGGAAACUAGGCUAAAACUUUGAGAACAGUGUUACAAAAUAGUAGCGAUAUAAUGGCACUUGUGCUUUUUACUUCUAAAUGAGAGAUGUUUGAGGUUGAUAUAUUUUCUCAUUUAAAACAAAUUUUUUCUAUAUUUUUCUUAAUAAGGAUUUUACUUUUAAAAGUGAUGUAUGAAUUUUGAAUUUGACUGCAUUUUGAUACCUGUC
This is a long non-coding RNA of Equus caballus (horse), 1608 nucleotides long. Lineage: Eukaryota; Metazoa; Chordata; Mammalia; Perissodactyla; Equidae. The record is from Ensembl.